UUACAAUUCUAUAAGUGUUAGAAAUAAUUUAAAUGGUGUAAAGAAAGCUUAGCUUUAUACAUUAUUAAGUGAUCAAAUAAAAAAAAAAAUUAUUAUGAAGUUUGUUUAUGUUAUGAUCCUUUUUCUCUCAUUAUUUAUUGUUUCAACAAACGGUUAUGAAAAAAUUUCCUGUCAAAACGACUUUGAUUGUCCAGAAAGUAUGUGUGAGUUUGGUAUGAUUCGCAGAUGUAUUAGCUACAAGUGUCAAUGUCAUGAGGCCUACUAAAUGGAAAAGAAUGGUUUCUUGCACCAGAAAAAGAUAUAAGAAAUAUUAUUAAUAAUGUUUUUAAUUAUUAUUGGCACUCAAUAGUUAGGUUAGAUUUUGCAUCUAACUAGUUACAAACCCGUGCUUCGCAUGGGUUAAAUAACGUAUCUUGUAAAAAAAUUAUUUCAAGAUGAAAAUAAGCAAAUUAAUGAAUAUUGCACAAACAUUAGAAAUAUUUAUCCAAAUAUUUAUGAAA
This is a long non-coding RNA of Medicago truncatula (barrel medic), 500 nucleotides long. RefSeq lists it as uncharacterized. The record is from RefSeq and is a predicted model, not a curated record. The transcript is spliced from 2 exons. NCBI's taxonomy places the organism in Eukaryota, Viridiplantae, Streptophyta, Magnoliopsida, Fabales, Fabaceae.